RNAcentral lists this ribosomal RNA (539 nucleotides) under uncultured Acidobacteriota bacterium. RNAcentral's name for it is "bacterial SSU rRNA". It matches the Rfam family "Bacterial small subunit ribosomal RNA", at positions 38 to 573 of the family's 1533-position model. Lineage: Bacteria; Pseudomonadati; Acidobacteriota. The record is from RNAcentral.
GGCGGCGUGCUUAACACAUGCAAGUCGAACGCGCAGCAUUCUGUAGCAAUACAGGGUGUGGGCGCGUGGCGAACGGGUGCGUAACACGUGGAUAACCUUCCUUCAGGUGGGGAAUAACCCAGUGAAAAUUGGGCUAAUACCGCAUAACAUGACGAUGCCACAUGGUGUUGUCUUCAAAGCCGCAAGGCGCCAGAAGAGGGAUCCGCGGCCGAUUAGCUUGUUGGCGAGGUAAUGGCUCACCAAGGCUUNGAUCGGUAGCCGGACUGAGAGGUUGGCCGGCCACACUGGAACUGAGACACGGUCCAGACUCCUACGGGAGGCAGCAGUGGGGAAUCUUGCACAAUGGACGAAAGUCUGAUGCAGCAACGCCGCGUGGGGGAUGAAGCUUUUCGGAGUGUAAACCCCUUUCGACCCGGAAGAAUGCCCGCAAGGGUUUGACGGUACGGGUAUAAGAAGCCCCGGCUAACUACGUGCCAGCAGCCGCGGUAAUACGUAGGGGGCCAGCGUUGCUCGGAAUUACUGGGCGUAAAGGGUCCGUA